RNAcentral lists this ribosomal RNA (253 nucleotides) under uncultured bacterium. RNAcentral's name for it is "partial 16S ribosomal RNA". It matches the Rfam family "Bacterial small subunit ribosomal RNA", at positions 524 to 776 of the family's 1533-position model. The record is from RNAcentral.
GACGUAGGAUGCAAGUGUUAUCCGGAAUCACUGGGCGUAAAGCGUCUGUCGGUGGUUUAAUAAGUCAACUGUUAAAUCUUGAGGCUCAACCUCAAAAUCGCAGUCGAAACUAUUAGGCUAGAGUAUAGUAGGGGUAAAGGGAAUUUCCAGUGGAGCGGUGAAAUGCGUAGAGAUUGGAAAGCCCACCAAUGGCGAAGGCACUCUACUGGGCCAUUACUGACACUGAGGCGCGAGAGCGUGGGGAGCAAACAGG